CCUCUUCUCGCUUCUCCUCUUGCUUCUGUCAUCAUCAUCGUCGACAUCAUCUGAUGCUUGUCGUAGGUAUGUCUGAAGAUCUUGAUCCUACUCUCAUCUUGAUCUUACUCUCAUCUAAGCAGGGAAAUGAUAGCGAGGCUCAAUAUUGGGCGCAAUAAUUUUCAUCCUUCCUCCCAAACCCUUCCAUGGUCCUGAAACCCAAACCGUCGUCUUCUCGCUUCUCCUCUUGCUUCUGUCAUCAUCAUCGUCAACAUCAUCUGAUGCUUGUCGUAGGUAUGUCUGAAGAACUUUAUCUCACUCUCAUCUUGGUUUCAGACAUGUAGUAUCCGGAACUGGGUCUCUGUGUUCUGCUUGAUGGGCUGCACCGAUCGUUUGAUACGCAGUUAGCUUUCGUGUGAUUGAAAUGAUGAGAUUAUAGAUUUUUUUAAACUACCAUUUUUUCGUUCUUUUUUUCUUUUUUCUUAUAUGUUUAUAAUCGUUUAAGCAGCGUUCUUUGUAUACUCAUCAUCGAGCUGUUCAUAAGGGGGGAAAAGUAGACUUUUUUUUUUUUUUUUUGCAGAAACCUUGAUUAGUUUUCCUUCACUGGUUGCUUUUACAAAGCCAAGAUGGCACUUUUUCUUUUUCUUAUAUCUCAUUGCAAUCAUCUACAUGAUCAUUUUGGUGCCCGGUUAUCUUUCCAGAGAUAUUAACCGAAAAAAGGUUCUAAUCUGGUUAGGGUAGUUCAAUGGACUAACCUGCCAUGAGCAAUGCUUUCAUAGUUUUAUAUAGUCUAUUUCCUUUAACCUUCUUAAAAUUUCAGAAGAGCAGACUUGACGAGGAGCAGAGUGUCAGGCCGAACAAGUUAAAGAAAGUAGAAGUUUUAUGUGAAUGACUCUAAUCAAGGGCAGGGCAAAAGAGCUUUGUGGUAAAAAUUUGUGGCUAAGGCAAAAAAUGUCAACUUUGAUCGAUUGGAAUCUAAUGCUUCACAUGGUAAAUCUAGGAUAAUCUACUUGAAAUCUUGAACACAAAGUUUUUGCUGUCUUUCAUUUUAGGUCACGGAGAAUUUUCAUCCUCAUCUGAUAGGUCCUUAAUGAAUGCCCAGCAAAAAAUUAAUAAGAAUUCACUCUAGUCCUAUGCAUAUAAUUUUUGAUGAUGAUAUUGUGGGUGAAAAUUGAUUGGCUGAAUUUUCAGCGCAAGUUUCAUGUAGACUAAGUCAACUAUUGAGCUUGUAUAUGUUUAGCAUCCCCCAAUGUGAAUCUCUAACUACAUGUAUAUACUUGAGGUUGUCCUGAGCAAAACUAUCUCCUAUUCCUGUCACUUUGGAGCUGGACUUAUUGAUUGCUCAUUCAAAUCAUAAUUUAGUGCUCAUCUUUGUAUGAAAAAAAUUACGAGUUCAGAGGACUCUCCUUUGACAUAUGUGGAACAAAGAUAGAGAUACAGAUACCGGCAUGACAUGAUAGAAAUAUGCUGAUGUGUUAAGUCCUUAAUUUAGGCUGUCAUACAUCAGAAAUUUGGCAAGAGAUCUUUUUACAUAUACGGUACCAUAUAUUUCAAAUUUUGAAAUUUAUUUAUGAUGUUAACAUAGACAGUUAUACAUCACAAUGAAUAACUAGCAUCCUAUUCCAAUCAUAAAAAAAAAAGAGAAAAUUAUUCUAGGUCAUGGUUAAAAAUAUUGGAAUUCAUAUCCAUACCGAUCCCAGCUUGGAUCGGCACAUACUGUUACCACUUGGUACAACACAAUUAUAAAAUCGAAUCUAUGUUAUGUUGAUACACUAUUGUUAAGAAGUAAUAAAUGAAGCUAAUUUUUUAAAAAUUUUCAUUAAUUAAUAUCUAAUGCGUAAGAGCAACAGAUAGACAAUCUAUCUAAUCAUAUAUUAAUUUCUAUAUAUAUACAUUUGUGUAUACAUAUUAAAUCAUCAAUCAAACAGAAGUUCUCCCAAGAAGUGUCCAUAAAAAGAAUCCUGCAACUAUUUAAUUGCUGUAUACAUUCUUGAUGUUAAUAUUGAACUGUCCAUGUUCAUGGUUGGUCAUCCAUACCACUUGCUGAUGUGAUGAUACUUGAACCUGAAAAGUAAAAGGUUGUUUGUAAUCAGGUGUUAUUCUACGUCCACGUAAAGUGAUGCAUGGUGAUGUAUAUAGGAUGCAUAAUUUCCUCUUGUCCUACUGUUAUACCAUGUGAUGGUUACAGCAAUAACAAGUGUAUAUGCUGCAUAUGGACCACAAAAAGUGAUUUCUUUCAGAACAAUGUAUCUGUUCAUUUUUUCCUCAUAGGAAGGUUGUUGGAAGAUAAGCUCUUCCAGUGAUCACCAUAUGUGACUGGUAAAGGAUGCUAUGACAGUGAUGCAGUGACACAUUUUUACGCUUUCUCAAUUGACCAUCUCUAUGAUAUUGUGUCCUCGCCAUGUAAUUAGAGUUCUUUGUAGACCUUAGAUUUAUGCGGCUUUUACUAAUCCUCUCUACAGUCAUAGUUAUUUCUUAAUGUUAAAAUGGAGCAAUAAAUUUUUUCAGAAUAUGAUAUUUCAAGGAGUUCUUUCCUUUGAGAGUUGAGGGUAUGUGAAAUUUUAUUGGAAUCUAGUCCAGUCUUCCUCUUUUGUUCUUGUAGUGAAACAGGAUUGAUCAAUCAAAAUUUGUUUUUCUUUGAGAUAUGUUGAGUUUUAAAUAUGUGAUCCAUAUUUAGCCGAAUCCAUUCAUCUUCUUUAUUUUAAAAUCUUGAUGACUUUGAACCUGAAAAAUCGUGAUCCUUCUAAGAAACACUAAACUCGAUAAGUUCUACACUGAAUCAACUCGUUAUCUUUAUUUUUAAUGUCCUUGACAUGUCUGAAUUGACAUGGGCAACAACCAAGCAACAAUUGUUGAUCGAUUGAUGUGAGUUUGAUAAUAUGUUGAAGUUCUGUUUGAUCCGCAAAUUGGUCUCUCUUGGACUAUAUUUGUGCUGUCAAGCAUCCUUCUGUGAUGAUGUUAGAUGCUAACUUAAAAUGUUGACAUCAGAAAAUUGUUCUCAUCUGACAACACAAUUUUCAAGGUGAUGUGUUCAGGUAUUUCAUAAAUGAAUGUGAGAGAUUUUUGGAGAACUAUUCUACUAACAAUUCUCUCUAGAACAUUGGAUAUCUUCAAGAACUUCGUUUUAUAAGCAAACAAAUCACUGAACUCAUCACAUGUUCAUAUUUAGGAACAGAUCAUUAAAUCAAUGAUCUCUUCUAUUCUGCUAAACAAUAUUUGGCAGAAAUCAAUAGCACCUAGGAAUAGAUCUUGCCUGUCUCCUCUAUCAUUUAUUGAUCAUUGUUAUCUCCUCUUGGGAUCAUUGAGUUGCAGUGAACUUGGCUACACUAUCUUUGGGAAGAUAACAAUUUGAUAUCAGAAUUACAUCUGCAACGAUAACAUGGUUUUGUGGCCUCAGAUCUUCUAUUGGCUGUUGGUACUGUUUGUUGCCUCGCUGCAUUAUAUCAUUCUUCAGCUUUUUGAAGACGUCAAUUCAGAGAACAGUUCAAGAUUGGUUGGUCCUACUAAUGAGGUAUCAGAUUCAAAGAAUUCCCCUUUUAUUUAAAACAGUGGGGACAACGUUUUGUCAAUCUAGUUAUGUCUUGGACUUGUUACUUGUUUUUUCUCUCGUCCUCAACCAGCUCCUUUUUCUCCCUGGAUUUCAACUACUUGGACGUGUGCCAUAAAUGUUUGUCCAUUGUCAAUAUUAACUUUUGGGUUGUCUUCUUUCUCCAAAAACUUUUGUCUUGGUAGUGACAAGUGGUAGUGCUGACAAUGCUUAGGGCCUACAGGCUCCAUAAUGGUGGAAGAUUCAGCAGUAGCCAGUGAUGAUUUAGGGGUCGGCAAAAAUUUAUGAUCGGCACAACUUUUUGCCGACCCCUAAAUCAGAUCAAUUCCUAUUCCUCUAUGCAAAAAGUAAACUAGAGAUCCCUUAUUCCUUUAGAAGUUCCUGGUUAUAAAGUUUGGCAACACUGUAAUUUUAGCAUGGUUUAUUGUCAUGCAUAAAUUUUUUUCGUUGAUGCUAUGAUACAUAGGUUAAAAUCAUAAACUGUAGUACUUAUAUGUUGAUGAACAACUGUAGUUUCACUAGAUUGGUAACAUCACUCUUAUAGAAGAGUGUUAUAGCAAAUUCAGUUAAGACUAAAAAAUUGGAAGAUUAUGGACCAUCUCGUAAUUGCCUUAAUAGGGCUUCAUUGACUUCUUUCAGAUGAUAAAUUCUUGUUUUCACUUCACCUUUAUUCACCAGCAUCUUUUAACUGCUGAUAUGUUUAAUUUGAACUGUUUGUUUCCUCAUCUUUAUUUCCACUUGACCUAAUAUUUUGUACGAUUCCAUUAGAUGACAUUUGGGUGGAAACAAGUGAGACACGUCGUGGAAGAAUUAACUUCUAACUACGGUGGCCAAUCUUCCUUCUUCAAAUUGUAGCACUUAAAUGAUGCACGGUUUGAUGACAGGCUCCACUUUCAUAACAAAGAGUGAGAACAUGAUCACUUGGGUGUUGUGGGGACGAAGUGGCAUUCUCAAUCCAACAAGGAUCCUAUAAUUAGUGGAUUCAUCACUUUGAACUUUUUCUUUCUUCCUUAUUCUUGCUAAGGUCAAAUGCCAUCAUGUCUUGGGCCUCCCACACCUUCCUUUUCUGAACGAAAAGCUAUAGCACUUUGCUCUCUGUGCCACUUAAGGACCCAACUAAAGUGUAGCCUGUGGAUUAGUAUGAAUCGAAGAGUGGAAAUCCUUUUGAGCUAGAUGUCUAUAAAUGACCCACUGUGGUUCCUUCUUCAUAGGAAGAAGGGGGAGUACGACAACUGAGUAACGGCCUAAUUAAAAUUGUUGCAUGCCAUGUUCCUGUCCAUGCCUUGAGUAGGAGGGGAGGCAUAACCCUAGAAACUGGAAGAUAAGGUGCAGAGACAUAACCCUAAGAAUUGGAGAAUUAGGUAUCAUCUAUCUCUCUCUGCCAGUGCAGAUGGAUUGGACCCCAACAGCCCUUAAGUUAAUAUUGGCACCCGAUGAUCAAAUUGUGCUAAUAAUGUAAAAAGAAAGAGAGGAGAGGAAUACUACAAAACUUUUACAUGUUUUGGCUCACAUGCUUAUGUUGACAAGCAAAUUCAGAUUGAAGUUUGCUGCAUCAAAUUUAAAUAUGGGGGCAUGCUGGAGUACAAAGAGAACCCCUAACUUGAAAAAGGGCAUGGAAUCUCAAAUCAUGAAGACACCGGCAUGGCAGGAACCUCACGCAUCGUACCAUUUAUCUCUUAUGCGGUCGAGUUGAAUUGAAGAGACACCUAAACCAGUCCAAGACCUGUGAGCACUCUUCCUCGACUCAUUUUGCAGUCUCUGAGAAACGUCCACCGGCGAUGGGAGUCCCUUUUGGUGGGAUGCUCUUCUUCUUCUUCUUCUUCCUCCUCCUCCUCCUCCUCCUCAAGGACGAGAUAAGGUUUGGGGCUCACGGCAAUCUGUGAUGGUCACAACAGGACUACAAUAGCUUUGCCUCAUUGCUCCACACCAGUAGACGCCAAGAUGCUACCUCACUAUCAUCCAGCUGUAGCCAAGCAGACGUCUCAUGACCAUCCAUAUCCAAUGAUCCUUUUGCACAGUAAAUUCAAUCACCAGCAGUGCCAUGGAAUCUUCUUCUUCUUCUUCUUCCUCUUCUUAAUCAUAACUAAAUGUGUCUCCCUGAUGUUUUCUAAAAGAAAACACAUCUAAUAAUUGAUGGUUGCAAAAGAUAAGACUAGAUGCUUCUUGUACAGUUGACAAUUAGGACAUCAUGUGGCUUGCAGUGGUGAGGUGAGGCCCUGUGGAUUACAAUAUUUUGUGAAACACAAGUGUAUUAUGUUUAGCAUUUCUUUCCAAAAUGUCUGUCCUUUUCCUCAUCCCAUCUGUGCUUGGAAACAUCAGUAAAGACAAGGGCGGCUUCAUAAUGCUUGAGAGGGGGUCUCAGUUUUCUAUUUGGUGCCAUCAAGUGGAGGUGGAGGCAUAGAGAUGGAGAUGCCAUUCCAGUGCUUGCUUGUCCCCAUCCCAUGCACACAAUGCAUGGAAGAUUUUGCUUAUACAUGCCGGCUUUUGUUUACUUUGGCGUUGGUCAAAACCUCAUGGAUUUGCUAUAACAUGCGGUGCGAGUUGUGCCACGACGAGUGUCUGUAUCACGAUGUCAUGCAUA
Musa acuminata AAA Group (dessert banana) is the source of this 6107-nucleotide long non-coding RNA. RefSeq lists it as uncharacterized. Lineage: Eukaryota; Viridiplantae; Streptophyta; Magnoliopsida; Zingiberales; Musaceae. The transcript has 4 exons. The record is from RefSeq and is a predicted model, not a curated record.